This is an RNA transcript of Fragaria vesca subsp. vesca, 2852 nucleotides long. RefSeq lists it as uncharacterized. The record is from RefSeq and is a predicted model, not a curated record. The transcript has 11 exons. Lineage: Eukaryota; Viridiplantae; Streptophyta; Magnoliopsida; Rosales; Rosaceae.
UCUGGCUCUAGCUUCAAUGGCACAAAGGACUGUCCUCAAGGUUGAUAUAACAUGCCUAAAAUGCAAAAAGAAGCUUCUCAAGGCAGUAACUGGCCUAGAAGGUGUGGAUAAAAUUGAAGUUGAUGCAGCCAAGGGAACUUUGACAGUAACAGGAAAUGCAGACCCUUAUGACAUAAUAGUCCGGUGCAGAAGAGCCGGCAAGUUUGCUGAGGUAGUGACCGUCGGGCCUCCUCCGGCUCCAACUAAACCGAAAGAAGAUGAGAAAAAGAAGCAGGAGGAGAAGAAACCAGUAGUCCAAAAGGAUCAACUUCCCUAUUAUAUGUAUCAACCCCAUAUUAUCAUGAUGCAGCCCCCUUGUUACGAGCCGAACCCGUCCUGCUCUAUCAUGUGAAUCAUUCGCCGAGUUUUCUGUAUCGGAACCGCCGAUACUAAGCUCGAUGAGCUCCGAUUCCUCGCCGACGCCGUCCGAUCCAACCUCGCCGCAUUCUCCUCAUCUUCCUCAUCCAAGGUCGAAGUCACCGUCGUCGAUGUCUCCGUCGGCCGGAACGACUCCGGCUCCGGUUCCGCUCAUAACGUAACCGAUUUCGCCUUCGUUUCGAGGAACGGGGUCCUCCGCAGCGACUCCGAAGCGGCGGAUCAGCUGCCGGAGGACAGAGGCGAAGCGGUGGACGUGAUGAGCAAGGCGCUGGGGGUUUUCCUAACGAAGUCGCAAAACGACGGCGUUUUGGCUGGUGCGAUAGGCGUCGGAGGCAGCGGAGGCACGGCUCUGAUAUCGCCGGCGCUGAGGUCGCUCCCGAUCGGAGUGCCGAAGGUUAUUGUGUCCACGGUGGCGAGUGGCCGGACGGACCAUUAUGUAGGGACCUCGGAUUUGGUGCUGUUCCCGUCGAUUGUGGACGUGUGUGGGAUUAAUAGCGUGAGCAGGGUCGUAUUGAGCAAUGCUGCGGCUGCGUUUGGAGGGAUGGUGAUUGGGAGAGUUGAGAGGGGAGAGAGUGGUGGUGAGGGUGGGAAGUCAACGGUGGGGUUGACCAUGUUUGGGGUUACUACUAGUUGUGUGAAUGCUGUGAAGGAGAGACUGGAGAAGGAAGGGUAUGAGACUCUGGUGUUUCAUGCUACUGGGGUUGGAGGUAGGGCCAUGGAGUCUCUGGUGAAGGAGGGGUUUAUAAAGGGUGUUUUGGAUAUCACAACGACAGAGGUUGCAGACUAUGUGGUUGGAGGUGUCAUGGCUUGUGAUGCUUCUCGCUUUGAUGCCACUUUAGAGAAAGGUAUACCUUUAGUCCUGAGCGUCGGAGCUUUGGAUAUGGUAAACUUCGGAGCUAAAGAUACCAUACCAUCCAAUUUUCAGAAGAGAAAGAUUCAUGAACACAAUAAGCAGGUUUCAUUGAUGAGAACUACAGUAGAUGAAAGCAAGAAAUUUGCUAGCUUCAUAGCAGACAAACUGAACAAGUCAUCAUCAAAGGUUGUUGUGUGCCUGCCACAAAAGGGUGUCUCUGCUUUGGAUGCACCAGGGAUGUCCUUUUAUGAUCCUGAGGCCACUGCUACUCUGAUAAAUGAACUUAAGAGUCUAAUUCAGACAAAUGAAGAUCGACAGGUAAAGGUGUACCCUCAUCAUAUAAACGACCCUGAGUUUGCAAAUGCAUUGGUUGAUUCAUUUUUAGAGAUUAGUAAGAAGAGUCAUCUGCAGUCUACUCCGCAAGUUGCUUCUCCUGAGCCCAGUCAACAGGUUCAUGAAAGUUCUGUUGCCCAGAUAAACUUCUCAAGUUAUGAAACGAAUCCACGCAGCCUCAGUGAUUUCCCAGGAGCUAAACCAGAAACUUUGCAAAGAACAUGGGCGAUACUACAGCAACUAAGGGAUCAAAUAAAUAAAGGAAUACCAAUUAUAGGGGCUGGGGCAGGGACAGGUAUAUCUGCAAAGUUUGAGGAAGCUGGUGGAGUGGACCUAAUAGUGUUGUACAAUUCAGGGCGCUUUCGCAUGGCAGGAAGAGGUUCAUUAGCAGGCUUAUUGCCUUUUGCUGAUGCAAAUGCUGUAGUUCUUGACAUGGCUAAUGAAGUUUUACCAGUGGUGAAGAAGGUACCUGUUCUUGCUGGAGUAUGUGGGACUGAUCCUUUUCGCCGAAUGGAUUUCUUCCUGAGGCAGGUGGAGUCAAUUGGAUUCUUUGGGGUUCAAAAUUUUCCAACUGUUGGAUUAUUUGAUGGUAAUUUUAGACAAAAUCUUGAAGAAACCGGAAUGGGAUAUAGAUUGGAGGUUGAAAUGAUUGAAAAAGCACAUAAAAUGGGUCUGUUGACAACCCCAUAUGCUUUUAAUGAAGAUGAAGCUGUGGAAAUGGCAAAAGGUGGUGCUGAUAUUAUAGUCGCUCAUAUGGGACUCACUACAGCUGGCUCUAUAGGGGCAAAGACAGCUGUUUCGCUUGAGGAAAGUGUAGUUCGUGUACAAAAUAUUGCAGAUGCUGCACAUAGGAUCAAUCCCAAUGCUAUUGUGCUCUGCCAUGGUGGCCCCAUCUCUAGCCCAAAAGAGGCAGAAUUUGUUCUUAAGAACACCAAGGGGGUUCAUGGCUUUUACGGCGCAUCGAGCAUGGAGAGGCUACCUGUUGAACAAGCUAUAACCUCCACAAUGCAACAGUACAAAUCAAUCUCUUUCCACUGAAGUAUGUUCUUUUCACAAUGCCCAUUGCUUCAUUCUCUUGCUCUUUUCAGUCCUUUACUGUCAUAUUAGCUUGAUUUAAUCAUAAUAUAAAAGAAAAACUUAGAAUCUGGUUUUCUGAUAGAUAUGAUGUCAACAUACUUGUUUACUCAUUUCAACAAUGAGUGUACUAUUAUAUGAUCCGAUCCAUGUUGAAUUAUGUAUGCAUCAAUAA